This 253-nucleotide ribosomal RNA is filed under the name uncultured bacterium. RNAcentral's name for it is "partial 16S ribosomal RNA". It matches the Rfam family "Bacterial small subunit ribosomal RNA", at positions 524 to 776 of the family's 1533-position model. The record is from RNAcentral.
UACAGAGGGUGCAAGCGUUAAUCGGAGUUACUGGGCGUAAAGGGCGCGUAGGCGGUUUAGUAAGUGAGAUGUGAAAGCCCUGGGCUUAACCUAGGAACUGCAUCUUAUACUGUUAGACUAGAGUAUUGUAGAGGGUAGUGGAAUUUCCGGUGUAGCGGUGAAAUGCGUAGAGAUCGGAAGGAACACCAGUGGCGAAGGCGGCUACCUGGACAAAUACUGACGCUGAGGCGCGAGAGCGUGGGGAGCAAACAGG